RNAcentral lists this ribosomal RNA (433 nucleotides) under uncultured bacterium. RNAcentral's name for it is "partial 16S ribosomal RNA". It matches the Rfam family "Bacterial small subunit ribosomal RNA", at positions 29 to 507 of the family's 1533-position model. The record is from RNAcentral.
AACGAACGCUGGCGGCAUGCCUAACACAUGCAAGUCGAACGAGACCUUCGGGUCUAGUGGCGCACGGUUGCGUAACGCGUGGGAACCUUCCCUUAGGUUCGGAAUAACUCCCCGAAAGGGGUACUAAUACCGGAUAAUGUCUUCGGACCAAAGAUUUAUCGCCUUUGGAUGGGCCCGCGUUGGAUUAGCUAGUUGGUAGGGUAAAAGCCUACCAAGGCGACGAUCCAUAGCUUGGAUGAGAGGAUGAUCAGCCACACUGGGACUAAGACACGGCCCAGACUCCUACGGGAGGCAGCAGUGGGGAAUAUUGGAAAAUGGGCGAAAGCCUGAUCCAGCAAUGCUGCGUGAGUGAUGAAGGCCUUAGGGUUGUAAAGCUCUUUUACCCGGGAUGAUAAUGACAGUACCGGGAGAAUAAGCUCCGGCUAACUCCGUG